This 148-nucleotide small RNA is filed under the name Pongo abelii (Sumatran orangutan). Its description in RNAcentral is "Metazoan signal recognition particle RNA (ENSPPYG00000039033.1)". Lineage: Eukaryota; Metazoa; Chordata; Mammalia; Primates; Hominidae. The record is from Rfam by way of RNAcentral.
GCUGGGUGUGGUGAUGCAUGCCUGUAAUCCCAGCUACUUGGGAGGUUGAGGCAGGAGAAUCGCUUGAACCUGGGAGGCAUAGGUUGCAGUGAGCCGAUUUUAUGCCACUGCACUCCAGCCUGGGCGACAAAGUGAGACCUUGUCUCCA